RNAcentral lists this non-coding RNA (205 nucleotides) under Fermentimonas caenicola. Lineage: Bacteria; Pseudomonadati; Bacteroidota; Bacteroidia; Bacteroidales; Dysgonomonadaceae. The record is from RNAcentral.
GUAACUUUGUUUUGCAUUGGUUUGAAUAUACCUUUCGGUAUAUUCGACGAAGAGGGAAUCAGGUGCAAAUCCUGAACAGACCCGCUACUGUAAGUCCUAUGCAACGUUUUGACAAUUCUAAAAGCCACUGUAUCCCUGCUGGGAUGUGGGAAGGCAGUUCAAAACGGGGACAAGUCAGGAGACCUGCCAGCGCAUAUAAUUUUUA